This is a microRNA precursor of Homo sapiens (human), 49 nucleotides long. The record is from Ensembl. Lineage: Eukaryota; Metazoa; Chordata; Mammalia; Primates; Hominidae.
GUGAGGCUGGAGUGAGCGGAGAUCGUACCACUGCACUCCAACCUGGUGA